This 491-nucleotide ribosomal RNA is filed under the name uncultured bacterium. RNAcentral's name for it is "partial 16S ribosomal RNA". It matches the Rfam family "Bacterial small subunit ribosomal RNA", at positions 29 to 506 of the family's 1533-position model. The record is from RNAcentral.
AGUGAACGCUGGCGGUAGGCCUAACACAUGCAAGUCGAACGGCAGCACAGUAAGAGCUUGCUCUUACGGGUGGCGAGUGGCGGACGGGUGAGGAAUACAUCGGACUCUACUUUUUCGUGGGGGAUAACGUAGGGAAACUUACGCUAAUACCGCAUACGACCUACGGGUGAAAGCAGGGGAUCUUCGGACCUUGCGCGAUUGAAUGAGCCGAUGUCGGAUUAGCUAGUUGGCGGGGUAAAGGCCCACCAAGGCGACGAUCCGUAGCUGGUCUGAGAGGAGGAUCAGCCACACUGGAGCUGAGACACGGUCCAGACUCCUACGGGAGGCAGCAGUGGGGAAUAUUGGAAAAUGGGCGCAAGCCUGAUCCAGCCAUACCGCGUGGGUGAAGAAGGCCUUCGGGUUGUAAAGCCCUUUUGUGGGGAAAGAAAAGCAGCAGGUUAAUACCCCGCUGUUCGGACGGUACCCAAAGAAUAAGCACCGGCUAACUUCGU